Molecule: small nuclear RNA, 107 nt
Organism: Monodelphis domestica (gray short-tailed opossum)
Lineage: Eukaryota; Metazoa; Chordata; Mammalia; Didelphimorphia; Didelphidae
Source: Ensembl
GUGCUCGCUUUGGCAGCACAUAUAAUAAAAUUGGAACAAUACAGAGAAGAUAAGCAUGGCCCCUGCUCAAGGAUGACAUGCAAAUUCGUGAAGCAUUUCAUAUUUUU